RNAcentral lists this long non-coding RNA (20256 nucleotides) under Gossypium barbadense (sea-island cotton). RNAcentral describes it as "long non-coding RNA (GBAR_LNC001038)". The record is from RNAcentral. Lineage: Eukaryota; Viridiplantae; Streptophyta; Magnoliopsida; Malvales; Malvaceae.
AGGGUGUCUAUGAAUUCAACAAUCUUGGAGAGGUAGAAGAUGUAUGCCCAGAAAAAGAGAGGGCCCGAUGGGGAUGUACCCCUAGGGAAGCAAACGAGGUUCUUGAAGUUAGGCACCUGGGAGAAGUUGGAAGCGAGGCAACCCAGGGCCAUGGUGAAAGAAAGGGUAAGGAGGAAGAUGUUGUCGACGGUUGUGAUUGAUUUGAAGAGUGGACGUGAAAGUGAAGGGCGAGAUAAUUGGGAGAGAACGAAGGUGAAAGAUGUAACACCCCUUACCCGAGACCGUUUCCGGAGUCGAGCACGAGGCAUUACUUAGCUUAUCUUACCAAUUCGGAGCAUAAAAACUAGGUUUGAAAAUUUAUUUCAUUAUUCGCAGCAAAUCUGUCCAAUCGCGCAGCAGUUACUAAAUUAAUUAUAACUUGAGCUACAGAACUCGAAAUUUAAUUCCGUAAAUUUUCCCUAAAACUAGACUCAUAUAUCUACUCACCACAAAAUUUUUAGAAUUUUUGGUUCAGCAAAUUAGUACAGUUUAUUAGUUAAAGUCUCCCCUGUUUCACCACCUGACUGCCCUGACCUCUAGUCACUAAAAAUAAGUUUUCUCACUGUAGGAUUUUCAUAUGAAGUUCUUACUUGUUUCUACAGAAAAUAGACUCAUUAAGAAAUCUAAGCAUGUAAAUUUAAACUCAUAAACAUUUUUGUACAAUUUUUAAUUAUUUUCUAAACUCAGAACAGGGGACUCCAAAAACAGUUCUGACCCUAUCUUACUAAAAUUCACAUAUCUUAAAAUAUAAAUUUCCUUUUUCUACACCGUUAUUUUUCCAUGAAAAUAGACUCAACAAGCUUUAAUUCCAUAUAUCAUUCACCCUCUAAUUCAUUUUAUACUAUCUUGGGUGAUUUUUAAAAUUCACGUCACUGUGCUGCCUGAAUUCUGUUUCUUUGCAAAAUUUUAUCCUUUCAUGAUUUCCAUGCAUAAUUUAUCACCUAAUCUUUCAUAAUAACAAACACCUUCAUCCUUAAUCAUUUUAAUAAUCAUACAUCAUCAAAUACUUACACAUCACUCAUUAGCAAAAUCAUCAUUACAAACAUACAAAAUAACUAAAUCCCUAUACAUGCCAUAACUCAAACGUGUUUCGAUAUAAAAUACCGAGCAGUUGUAGUUGAUAGUGUGGACGAUCUCCGACUUCUUUAGGAUCCUUGAAGUAGCUUUGCAAUACUAUAAGAGAAAGAGAAAUAAAAGAAGUAAGCAUAAAGCUUAGUAAGUUUACUAGCAAAUAAAUAACAAUAUUUAACUUAAAUAAUUAAACUCAAUGUCUAUAUCUCUAGUUUACUCUUUAGUUAAUCUCAUACUAGUUCUCUUACUUGUUUACUUAGAAUACUUGUGUGCAUAACUUACUCAAUCCUUACUGCAUCGUUGAACAUCAAUUGAUAGAUAAUAAGUUCUUAAGUCUUACAACUUACCUGAGCUUGCCAUUUAUGCUUUAAACUGAACUUUCAUGAACAUGAUUCGUUUACAAGCCCGUUGAGUUACAUUGGAAUAAUAAGGAUACUCGAGUCUCUUCUGAUAAUAACAUGCCAAAGCCAUGUCCCAGACAUGGUAUUACAUGGGAUGUUCUCGUGAUGGUGCCCAUGCCAUGUCCCAGACAUGGUCUUAUAGGGGACCUCUCAUCUCGGUGCCAACGCCAUGUCCCAGACAUGGUCUUACAUGGGACCUCUCGUCUCGGUGCCCAUGCCAUGUCCCAGACAUGGUCUUACAGGGGACCUCUCAUGAUCUUAAGGAUGUCAAUGCCAUGUCCCAGACAUGGUCUUACAUGGGAUCUCUGUAACAACCCGGUUUUGACCCUAAUCAGAAUAGUGGUUUCGGGACCACAAAUCUGAAUCAAAAAAAUAUUUUAAUAUUAUUUUGUGUGUUUAUUUUGUGUGCAUUCGAUGGUGUGAAAUUUUCGUGUUUUAAUUUCGUUGUUUAAGUGUCCGAUUUAAUUAAAGGGCUUAAUCGCAUAAAAUAAAAAUUUGAUGGCUAAGUAUGAAAGUGCUUAAUUAUUUUUAUCUUUAUAAUUUGGAGGUUUCAUGUUGAAAUUUAGCCAAUAUUAAUGGUAGUGGACGGCAAUGAUGGCUAUUAUAUAUAUUAUAUAUAUAUUAAUUAUAAAAGUAAAAUAACAAUGAUAUAAUAUAUUGAAAAUAAUAAAACUUAAAGAUAAAAAAAAAAGCAUGCAUGUUGUCUUUCUCAUUGCCGAAUAUACAAAAGAAAAAGAAGAAAAAAAUAGCAAGCUAGGUUCGGCCCUUAUUUUGCUUGAUUAAGGUAUGUUUUUGCUUCGGUUUUUGAUGAUUUUUACGUUUUUGAGAUCGUUGCUUUGAAUACUUCAAAACCCAUGUCUUAAUUUUGUGAAUUGAUGAAUAUUUUGAAUUAUGCCAUUGAUGAAUAUUUGUGUUUUGGGAUGUUUGAUGAUGAAUAAUGGAAGAUAUGUCUUAGAUUAACAUGUUUUGUAUUGAUAUUUUUGAUGAAUUUGAGUAUUUAGGGCUAAAUUGUGAAAAUAAAUUUUUGAGGGACUAAAAUGUGAAAUAAAUGCAAUGUGUGGACUUGUAUGAGAACCAUGAAUAUUCGGCCCUUGUGUGUUAUGGGCAAAUUUUGUGUAUUUUGUGUUUUGUGCAAAAAGGACUAAAUUGCAAAAAGUGCAAAAUGUUAGGGGCAAAAUGGUAAUUUUCCCAUUUAUGUAUCGUUGGACUCAAAUGAAUGUUUUGAUGAAUAAAAAGGUUAAAUUUGACUAUGUUUAGAUCAAGGAACGAAGAAAACGAAUUUGGAUUGGGGGAAGUCGAAGGUAAUCGAAUAGUCGAUCGUGUUUGCUGUUAUCCGAGGUAAGUCUAUUAGCUAUUUAAUGUCAUAAAAUCAGUAUAUAAAUAAGUAUAUGAGCUGUUUUUGGAUGAAUUAUAAUUAAAAAUAUGAUAGUUGAAAUAAUUAAAAGUAUGAGUGAAUUAUAUAUAUUAUGCAAAUCUACAUCUAUAUGUUCUCGUAUUGAACUUAGGUAUGCCAUUUAUACAAGUUUAUAAGGGGUUCGACUAUGCAACUAUGCAUGUAUAUGUUCUUGUGAUAAAUUUAAGUAUGAAACUUAUAUAUGAAAAAGGGAGAUUCGAUUAGGUAUGUAUGUUCUUGUAAAGGUUCUUGAACGGGGUUGAAGAGAUGAAAUUAUUAGCUUGGAUUAUCUUAAUGUGUUCGAAAGUACGAUAUUAAUAGUAUGCUUCAAUGUGUUAAGUUAUAUAUAUAUAUAUAUAUAUAUUCGGAUGUAUAAUUUAGAUAUUGAGUUGAAUUUGAUGACUGAAUUUUUUAUACCGAUGUGGGUUAAGGAUAUAGUUUAUAAAUUAUUGAGCUGAAUUUUUAUGUGAAUUCUAUAUACCAUUAUGAUAUACAACUCCUAUGAAUUGAGAUUCUUUUGUUAAAGCUCAGUAUCAUUCGGUUUAUCGUUAGUGACAUAAUUCAGACUUUACGUCUAGCAGGCUUAAUGCCGGUGAAAUUAUUCAGACUAUAAGUCUAGCAGGCUUAAUGCCGGUGACACAUUUCAGACUAUAAGUCUAGCAGGCUUAAUGCCGGUGACACAUUUCAGACUAUAAGUCUAGCAGGCUUAAUGCCGGUGACACAUUUCGGACUAUAAGUCUAGCAGGCUAAGAGCCGGUGUAUUGAAUCAGGUUUUAAAACCUAGCAGGCUAAAUGCCGGUGAAUCCGUUUAAAGCAUGUGAUAAUAUACAAUUGAUACCUCUAUGAUUUUGAUUAUAUGAAAUCGAUGUAUACAUAAAUGUUCAAUCACAUGAUUUUAGUCAUAUUAACUUGAUGAGCAUAUAUAUAUAUACAUAUAUUUGGUCUAAGCAAUUGAUAGAUAUGUAUAUAUAUAUGUUGCAUUCGGCAUAGGUGGAUAUAUUUAUGUGUAUGCAUUCGGCAUAGGUGAAAAUAAGUGUAUGUAUCUAUGCAUUCGGCAUAGAUGGGUAUAGGUGCAUAUGUGCAUUCGGCAUUUAUGGAUGAUAAGCAUAAAAAUUUGGCUUUUGAUAUAUGUAGUUGAAUAGUUGUAUUUAAAUGGAUUCGAUGAAGUGCGAACAAUAAGUACUCUAGAAAUCAGUAUAUGCUGUUAAGGAUUAUGCUAGUAACUUGAUUAUAUGCUUAUAAUGUAUAUACAUUUGUCCGUUUAUGUGUAUUAGAUAAAUAUACAUCCUUUUAGACUUAAACAAAAUGACUCAAUAAAGUAGUGUUUGAUUAGUAAUCAUAUUUGAUGAUUGUAAUUUCAAUAAAUUUACUUAAAGAAUUAUAUGAUUCUUUUAUAUGUAUUUUAGAUAUGCUGUAGACUUACUAAGCUAUAAAAGCUUACUUUUUUUGCUUUCGUUCAUUCGUUUUUAUAGAUUUUUUUUUGGAGACGCGUUACGAGCUCGGGGAUCAUCAGCACCGCCCAUCACACUAUCGACUUCUUUUGGUAUUUUGUUAAAUAUUUGAACUCGAUCUUAUGGCAUGUAUAGGCUUGAUAAUGUUUUGGAUAAUUUUGAAUCCUAUUGUGUAAAUAGCAAUGCGAAAAGAGUUUAACUUCCAUGCUUGAAUUUGAUUAUAUAUGUUCAUGAAUUGGACUUGCAUUUGGAAUUAGAUAUUAAAGUUAUGUUUAUGUGAGCUUGGUUUCGUAAUGCCUCGUAACCCUGAUUCGGCGGCGGAGACGGGUUAGGGGUGUUACAAUCUCUUUACCCAAAUGUCAUGACAUUCGUAUCCAGUACCAUCCUUAUGUAUCAACGGGACUUUUAAAUUUUAAUUCUCUAUCAUUUCAUGCUUGGAUCAUCAUCAAAUAAAUUCAUAAAAUAAAUUCAUAAUUGCUGGAAAUUAACAGCAUUAAUAAUAAAUAUUGAAAUAUUGCAUUUAUUUACCGUAAACUUACCUCGGUACCAAUUAUAGCCAAAUUCACCAACUUAGUCUUCAACUUUAUUCUUCCCUUUGUCUAACCUCGAGUUUCGUACUUCUUGAUCUAAAAUAGUAAAUUUAACUUAUUUAAUAAUCACAUUCAUCAAAACAGCCCUCGACUCUAACUUUUUCAAAAUUACAAUUUUGCCCCUAAACUUUUACAUAAUUACAUUUUUGCCCCAAGGCUCGGAAAUUAAACUUCAUCUCUUAUUCUUAUGUUUUAUAACAUUCUGAACAUUUUUCCCUUCUAUGGCAACAUCAAAUUCCCACUCUAACAUGUACUUAUGAACAUUAGGUAUUUUUACCGAUUAUGUCGUUUUACUCGUUUUCACUUAAAAUCGCUUAGCAAAAGUUGUUUAACAUAAUUUAUAGCUUCAUAUUCUAUCAUAAAACAUCAAAAUAAACACUUUUCACCUAUGGGUAUUUUUCCAUAAACCCUAGGUUAAAUUAUUGCUAGAAUAAGCUAAAUUAAGCUACCGGGAUCUCAAAAACGUAAAGAAUAUUAAAAACGGGGCUUGGGAUCACUUACUAUGGAGCUUGGAAGCUUGAAAACCCUAACUAUGGCUUCCCCCCUUGCUUAUUUCGUUCAUAUGAAGAAGAUGAUGAUUUUUGCCAUCUUUUUCCCUUUUAAUUCAUUUUAAUUACUAGAUUACCAAAUUGCCCCUAACUUAAAAAUUUUCUAUUUCACUUAUCUCAUGUCCAUUUUUGUCUACCAAGUUACCAAUGGUAUAAUUACCAUAUAAGGACCUCCAAUUUAAAGUUUCAUAACAAUUGGACACCUCUAACAUGUAGAACUCAACUUUUGCACUUUUUACAAUUUAGUCCUUUUGACUAAAUUGAGUGCCCAAACGUCGAAAUUUUCGAACGAAAUUUUCAAAAAAUCAUUUUGUGAAAUUUUAGACCAUAAAAAUAUAAGAAAAAUAAAAUUUUUCUCAUCGGAUUUGUGGUUCCGAAACCACUGUUCCGAUAACCUGAAAUUUGGGCCAUUACAAAAGAGAUGUAAGACAAGACAGUGAGGGUGAGGAAGAGAUGAGAGAAGCUGGUGUUUGGCCAUUUUCCCAUGAAAACUGGAGGAUUUUGGGAUGCUUCACUAGCCAAUCCUCCAAGGUUGAGAACAAGGCUUGUUGCACCACCAAGUCUUUGAUACAGGAGAAAAGGGUUGGGAAAAAGGGCACUUCCAUCUUGCUGCUGCCUUUACUACUCUAGUACUACUCAGUUAAAAAAGCUGCAGCAAAAAGGAGAAGGGGGGAUUGCCUUUAUAAGCACUGAAAAGUUACUUAUGAUCCAAUUUUUUCUCAACUGCCUACUGGUACUGGAUAUCAUUGAUCCAUCCACUGCAUUCCUGUUUAUGGUUAUUCAUUUAUGGAUAAUGGUCCGCCAGUAAUGAAAUCAUUUAUGGAUAGGGGGUAAUUAGCCUACCCCUCUUGUAACUUGUAAGUAAAUAGAUUUUUGGGUAAAUUAAACUGUUGCUUAAUUAUCUAAUUAUUAGUAAAUUUGUUACAAAAUUAAUACCUAACUAUUACUGAAAUUUUUUGUCACCUAAUUAUAAAAAGUUAUAAAAUGGUCACUCAACUAUUAAAUUUCAAUGUAACACCUUCAUACUCGACCUGAAUAUCGAGUCAAAGUACUGGGAUGCUACAUUCAUUGUCGAAGCAACUUUGAUGAUUUCAUGUCAAUUAAUCAUUAUAAAACUCAAAUUAUAUCAAAACACUUGCAAUAACUUGUGUACAUGUCAUAUUCUAUAACCAAAAUAUCAAAUUCGUACUCUCUUCAAGCCUUGGUGAUGAGAUGAGAUGCGUGGAAAUCCCAACCCGAAUCUAGAGCUUCAAUUCGAUCUUCCAUCUAUGUGUUUAAAACACACAUUAUGCUUGUAAAAACUUAGAAAGUACCCAAGAAUCCAAAUUUCAAGUUUUUUUUACCUUGAAUUCUAUAUAUAAAAAUUUACCAUAAUUCACUACUUUUAUAUUUUCAUGGAUUGGUAUGAACAAAGCUUUUACCAAAUUAAUUCACUACAUUAUCACUUACUUCAUUAUCACUUACCAGUUUAACAAAAUUUGUUAUCAAAAUCCUUUACUUGUCAUCUCACUAUGUAAUAGGAAAUUUUUAUAAGAAUUUGUUUAUCAUAUAACUCUUUAUUUUGUUUAGAUUAAUUAGAGUUCCAUUAGAUUAUUAAUUGAAUUUAUUGUGAUUUAUGUCUCAAAGGGUUCAAUUGUACACUUAUCCAUCUAGGCAUUAUAUCAAUUGAUUUUUUCAAUCAACCUUCCACUUUUUAAUUUUCGUUUUAUUUAUUUAUUGUUUUAAAUCUUUAUUCUUUGUUCUUAAUUUUUUUCUUUAUUAUUAUUUUUAAAUAUGUUUGGUUUCUUCUUUUCAAGUCAUUCUUGAAUUUUUUAGUUAGAACAACUCAAACACAAUCUUCUUUCACUGCUCCUUUAUUAAGAAUAAAACAUAUUUCAUGGCUAAUAAUUUACCUAUUCGAAAAGCACCCGAAAAGAUUAAUCACUACUACUAACAGUAGAUAUAUCCUGAUUACGAAAAAAAGAAAAGAUAAAAUACAAUUUUACGUUAUAAAAAGUUGUUAUGAUUUUAUAAAAAUAUGGCAUGAAUCAUGUCAAAUCAUAUAAAUGAAAUAUACCUAUAAUAAUUCAUGCCCAAUUUAAAUAUAGAAUGAGCACCAAUAACUUUUUCACGUGCAACAAUAAAUAUUGAGAAUAACAAAAGAGCAAGAAAAUUGGAAAGAUAAAUGCUUUAUCUAAAGUCUAAACUUCAAACAAUAAAAUCCUGACUUUUCCCUUGCAUGGAAUUAUGGAUAUAUAUUUGUAUAAUAUUAGUAAAUAGUUUUUUUUUUAUGUUAGAAUACGAUGAGGACUAGAAAAAAAUUAUACUCUCAAUUCAAAUUUAAACCAUUAAAAAAUAAAAAUAAAAAGUUUUAGACUCGAGCUUGACAUUAAAAAAACAAAGAAAUAAAUAAAUAAAAACUAAUAAUUUAUUCAAAAAUAGCAUGUAAACACGUGUAUCCAUUUAAAAAACUAACCUCUUAGGAGAGAAAAAAAAUAAAAAUUAAGAUAAAAUUACAAUCAAACGAGAAUUAGGACAAAAUAAUAAGAUGUAACAAAACAAAUUAUUUAUACAAAAAACUUGUAACUGAAAAGCUAAUUAAUAUAUCAAAUAUUCUUAAUAACAAAUAUUACCAUGUACAAAAUGUGUAACUGAAAUUAAAGUUGAAUUGAAAAUUUAUUAACUUUUUUUAUAAUAAUAUAUUUAAUAAAACUAAAUAAACUAAUCAAUUUAAAUUUAGAAGAAAACAAAAGUAAUACAUUGGUAGUGUAUUUUUUUUAUUUCACAAACAACUUUAAAAUUUUGUUAUGUGGCUUUUUUUUUAAAUAUUUUACUCUAUCUUUAUAACUUGUUAGCCCUCUAACUUUACUUGUGAAUUAAGAUUAAAAACAUCACUGAUAGCGUAUAUCAAAUAUUUUCUCAUAUUUUAAUUAUAAAAAAUAAUAUAAAACUAAAUAAUCCUAAUGACAAUCAAUAUGCAAUUGAAGUUAAUUAAUAUUUAUUAAAUUUCAACUCAUUUUAAUUUACAUUUUAUUAUUUUAAUAUGAAAAUAAAAUAUUAAUAUAAGAAAUGCAUCCUAUUUUAACACUUUGAUUUUGAAUAAAAGUUAGAACAAUUCUAUUUUUAUAAUUCAUAUAAAUAUUAAAAUUAUUUGGGAUUUUAAUAUAUUAAAAUUACCAAAUUAAAGAUUAAUAUUUAAAUUUAAUUAAGUUAAAACAUUAAUUUUUUAUUUUAAUAUUAAAUCUGUCUCUCUUUUUUUUUUACCUUUUAAAUAUAUUUUCUAAUUUAAAAUCAUAUAGAAAUUUUAUUAAAUAAAAUUUAAAUUCAAAUUGGAUCAAAUUUAAAAAUUCAAGUCCUUCAUAUUAUGCAAACUAAAAUUAAUAGGGAUUUAUCUAAUGUUGAAUUGAAGUCAUCUAUCGGAUUUGAUGAAGAAAAACACGAUGAAUUAAUUUAUCUUGAUUUUUUACUUUUUAUAAUACAAAUCAUAAUUGAUGGAGGCUAUAAUUUUUUCAUUAAUUUUGUGUGUAACCUUAAGUAAACCCCAAGCAACAGAGGUUAUAAUUUUUUAUUAAUUUUGUGUGCAACCCUAAACAAACCCUAAGUAAUGAAGGUUAUGAAAUUUUAAAAUAAUAAUAAUAAAUAAUAAAUAAUUAUCAUUAUAAAUUAUAAUUACAAUAUUAAUUAAAAAAUAACAAAGUAAUAUUAUAAAUCUGAUAAGUUUAAAGCUUUCAUAUUAAAAAAAUAUAAUAAUAUGAUUGUGGUCAAAGUAAAUUUCAUUUUCAGUAAUAUCUCUUCAAACAAUUCUAACUUAUUAAUCUCUACUUUUUUUUUAAUAAUUUUUUUAGAUGGUACUUGAUUUCACCAUAAGCAUUAUAAUUUUAAAAACUUCAAUUUCAUUUGAUUUGAUUUUCAUAUAAAAUUUUAAUAAAUAUAUAUUUUUAUAUAAAUCUUUUUCGUGUGUCAUAACUACAUUUUGAAUGUUUUAUAAUUUAAUAUGAAGAAAAAUAAUUCAUUUGGUUGACCUAUUGUCUCUAUCAAUUUCAUAGUCAAUUACUUUAUUUUAUUCCCAAUUAACUUCAAUUGAUUAAAACUAAUCCGUAGAAACAAUACAUGUGAUAAAGUAGUGUCUUAGGUUUACAUCAUUUGCAUAAUUGAUUGUUGACCUUAUGACCAAAUUAGUUUGAAAUAUUGGACUGUCAUUUGAUGCCCUACUCUCAAAAUUUUUUUGUUACCAAAUUUAUUUUAUGUUGUGUAUAUAUAUGACACUGGAUUUUCUUAAUAUUCUCUAAGAAAAAAAAAACUUAGAUAUGACGUUAAAUUGGAAUUUAAUGGAUGAAUCAUGAGGUGUUUGUUCCAAAUCUUACCAGACAUAAAAUAUUGGUGUAAUGAAAACGACAAAAGCAUGCAAUAUCUUAAAUAAUAUAUAUGACGAUAAAAGGGACAAGUUAAUUUUUGAUGAGGUCCUGUCAAACUUAUUAACUCACCUGCUUACCAUAUUUAAUGUUGACUGCGACAACAAUUUCUAUGUCAGCCUUCAUUUAUUUAUCUCAUCAACUUUUUUUUUUUUUUCACUUCACGGUCGUUCCAUUUUCUUCAUCGUCAGAAACGAUAAUACAAUAUAAUUGCAUGCAGCAGGAACUGUUUAAUCAUGCAUUUACAGUAAAAACAUAAAAUAUAAAUUAACAAUGAAUCUCUUCAAUUAAUUGAUAUUAAGAUACAUAUGCACACCGAAGAAUUGAAAUCGUAAAAGGAAUUUAUGACAAUUAUGUUCAUUUUUUUCUUCAACUGAUCAAUCACUCUGAAACAAUAACUACAUAUAAAAAUGAAAACGAAAUGAAAACAAAAGGUAGUUUAAUUAAUUAUUAGUUACCCUUGAAGACCUUGGCAUUGGUGGAGUAACUCUUGGCAUGAAAGUCUGAGAACAAGUAGAGAAGAGAGGCGAUGAAGGCUGCAUUGAAACACCAACUCAGAAUCCCAGAGCAGCCAGAAGCUGUGAAGUGGUAGAACACAAGCAUGGCCAUGAUCAAAAAGCUUAACCAGAACUGCACUAGUUGAAAAUCCGUCACCAUUUUUUUCCACUUAGGGUGCAUCCCCAGGGUGCACAACAGGUAAUAGGUGUACAUUACGACAUGCACCACGCAGUUGGUGACCAGCACCAUGGGUACGGAGGACUGAGCACUGUCUAAGCAAAUAUAACACAUGAUGACCACCAUGGAGUGAUGGUAAACGUGAAGGAAGGAUAGCCUCUUCAUGGAUCCGCUGAGGAUGAUCAAAAGGGUGUCCAUGAAUUCAACAAUCUUGGAGAGGUAGAAGAUGUAUGCCCAGAAAAAGAUAGGGCCCGAUGGGGAUGUACCCCUGGGGAAGCAAACGAGGGUGUUGAAGUUAGGCACCUGGGAGAAGAUGGAAACGAGGCAACCCAGGGCCAUGAUGAAAGAAAGGGUAAGGAGGAAGAUGUUGUGGACGGCUGCGAUUGAUUUGAGGAGUGGACGUGAAAGUGAUGGGCGAGAUAGUUGGGAGAGAACGAAGGUGAAAGAGAUGUAAGACAAGACAGUGAGGGUGAGGAAGCGGUGAGAGGAGGCUGGUGUUUGGCCACUUUCCCAUGAAAACUGGAGGAUUUUGGGAUGCUUCACUAGCCAAUCCUCCAAGGUUGAGAACAAGGCUUGUUGCACCACCAAGUCUUUGAUACAGGAGAAAAGGGUUGGGAAAAAGGGGACUUCCAUCUUGCUGCUGCCUGUACUACGUCAAUCAAUAAAGCUGCAGGAAAAAGGAGUGGGGAUUGCCUUUUUAAGCACUGAAAAGUUACUUAUGAUCCAAUUUUUUCUCUACCUCAACUGCCUACUGGUAGUAGAUAUCAUUGAUCCAUCAACUUGCCACUGCAUUCAUGUUUAUGAUUGUUUUCAUUUAUGGAUAAAGGUCCGCCAGUAAUGAUUUCAUUACUGCCUAUAGGGGGGUAAUUAGCCCCUCUAGUAACUCGUAAGUAUAUAGAUUUUUGUAUAAACUAAACUAAUAGUAACUCAAUUAUUAGUAAGUUAUUUUUAUUUUGUCACUUAUUAAUGAAAAGUUAUAAAAUGGUCUCUCAACUAUUUAAUUUUAUCUCCUUUUUUUUUAUUACCAACAAGGUAACUGUGGCAACUUUUAAAAUUUAUAUAAUAACAAUUUUAACCUUCAUGAUUUAUUCAUUAUGUCAAUUUUGUCUUAACUUUAGAAAAUUUAACUAUUAAAAUUUACACAUUGUGUAAUUUAGUCUUAUAAUUUUGCUCUUCUUUAUGUCCCUUUCAACUAAAAUGUUAAAAAAACACAUUUAUCAAGUAAAUUUGAUUGAAAAUAUACAAACAGAAAAAAGAAACACUCAAAAAUCUAAAAUAAUAAUUUUAAACUUUUCUUGUUAUUUUAAAAAUAACACUAAAUGUCGCAAAGAAAAUAAAGUGCAAAAAAAAAAAGAGACCUAAUUCAUAAUGUGGAUUUGUUGAGGGUUAAAUUCAUUUUAGAAUCAAGACUAAAUUGACAUAUUUUAUAAAUGUUGAUGAUUAAAGUUAUUAUUAAUUAUGUAAAAUUUAAAGUUUUCACUAUUAGUUAGAUGGUAAAAAGAAUAGUUGAGUAACUAUUUCAUUGAGCAACUAAAAAAUAUACUAAUAUUUGACUAAACAUUUUAUAAUUAUUGAGUAACAAAAAUAUAUUCCAAGCCAUUGCUAGUGUAGUUUAGCUAGAUUUUUUAUUCAUUAACACCUACCGUAAGUCUCAGCUAGUAGAGACAAUUUUACACAAUUGAGUUCGUUCGGUCAAAACAACUCAACUUGGUUAGAUUAUUGUCAAAUUUAGUUUCAUAAUAAUUAAUUUAAGUAUUUUAUGUGUUUUAAAAUUUAAAAUCCCUUCUAAAAAUUCGAAUUAAGCAUUAAUAAUUAAUUAUAAAGUUGAAUAUUAGAAUAUAUAUAUUUAUACAUACAAAUACACUAUAGCUCAACUUAUACAUCUAAAUGUCUUCAACUUAUACACUGUAAUUACAUCAAACAAUCUAAAACGUAUCAAUGUUGUAUAAAUUAAAAUUUUUCAUUACUCUUGUCAUUUGUUUGAGAGUUAAAUGUUAUUUCAAAUCUAAUAUGAAUUUAUUUAAAAUACGUGAGUGAAACUAUAAAUAUGUGUGUACCUAUUACAUGAAUAAUUUGAAGACAUGUUAAUAAAAAAAUACCCCUUCUAACAUUGUUUGUUGUUUUAACAAACUAGAUCUAGAUCCAAGCUAUCCAUAUGAUAGGUACACAAGUGUACUUAGAACCUACCAAUCAGCAAGGUACCACCACUUCUCUUGGUUGUGCUCCAUUAGCGUUGUGAGCAUAAUACCAAUAUCGUCCUCUUUAGGCAUCACUAACACGUUAAGAUUUUGUAACUUUAAGAUGCAUCUCUUUAAGUUUAAACUCACGAUCUCUCUAUGUAGGAGACCUUUUUGCAACCAUGGCAUGUCCCAUUGAUCUGGCUUUAAAAGGCGCCUUUUUAUGUCUUGAUCCGUCGACCAACAUGUACUAAUACUUCACUGCGUCGGAUUACUCUAGCGUCAUGGCAUAAUACAAAUGCUGCUGUCCUCUUCAGGUGUCCGCCGAUCCUCCAAGAAUAGCUCACCCGAAGGUAUGCCACUUCGGAUUUGAAAUUAGAACUUUCGAGUCAUGUUCUCAAUUAUGGCACCAUUUGAUCUAACCUAGGUAAUGGAAAACACUCAUAAGUAGGAGGUCUUUGUUUCAAACUUAGGAGGCGCAUCUUCGGGUGACAAAACUUUGCUGAUAGGCACCCAAAUAGGAUAAUAAUAUUGGUAUUAUGUCACUAGUGUGACGCAGCUUAAGUAAGUGAUCAUAGUACCUUAACGAUUGACAGGUCGUGACAUAUAUUUUUUAUUUGAUCCACAAAAAAAUUCGACAUAAAAUUGAAUUUGAUAUUUAAUACAUAAUUUAAAUACACAAUUAAAAAUUAAAAAUUUAGAAUUUUGUUACGAUUCAAACCACUAUUAAUUACAUCAAAUAUAUUUGGAGUAACAGUGUUUUUAUAAAUGGGUUAUUCAUGAUUUUGACACUUCUCAAUCAGUCAAGGUAUAAAAUCAAAAUUACAGAAUAUAUAUCACUAUUUUAAUCGGUUAGAUAUCCCUGCCACAUUUAAUGUUUUUUUCUUUCAUUUCAUUAUCAAAAUAAAAGAUAUGUCCGAUUGAAAGCCUAACCAUACAUCUAUAUUAUUAAACGCAAAGGUUGUAGAGUUAAGUUUAAAAGGGUUUACAGUGUUCUUAAUUUCGCUUUACUACUAGGAUUUUUUGAAAAGUAUGAUUUGGAGGGUAAAAUAUAUUAAGAGUUCUCCUUUUUACUUUUUUUUAGUACUAAUGGUUUUUCUCUCUCUUGUUGAUUAAAUUGUGCACUUGCACUUAAGUUUGCAAGUAGUACUUUUCUUUCUGAAAUGAGUUUUACAAAACUAUUAUUAUAUUCACUAUCUUCAUAACUUCUCCCCCAUUACUCACUAUAAGUAACAUAAACUUGAUUUCAUUCACUUUACCCAUUAUUCUUAAAACAUUCUUGUGAAUUAACCUAUAUCUCUCCCACAUCCUAUCAAAUAUGCCACUUGUUUCAUUUGAGGGGACUUUUGAAUCGUAUGGCAAACUUGAGUGCUUUAAAAAUUCUCUCUAUAACUUUCUUUCUACAAUCAUAAUAACACCGUAGCUCUCAUCUUUUUCAGCCCCUAAUUGUUUCCAUCACCACUACCUGCUACUACACUUGUUUGUUAGAAUGUGGAGAUAAAAAUAAGUUUAUGAGAAAUUAACAAAGGCUUCAAGGCGUGUAAUAAUGCCAUUAUCUUUAAGGUUCUAUUCGCCGCUACCUAUAUUUUGGUGUGCAAAAGAGAUAUUAGUAAAUAAAACUCGAGGAUACAAUGAAGUACAAUAAUUGUCUACGUUUUGCAGUAAUAGAAAUAGUCCGUUGAGCAUUGAGCAGAAUAUGAGAAGGAUAAUCAAUUUUUAUAAAGAAUUUUUACAGUAAUUCUUUAUAUAGCAAUCUAGAAAUAUAAAAGAUGGUGGGAAAAUAGAAAAAAAAAUUGUUUCAAUGCUUUUGGGUGUUUCGUACCAAUGAAAUUCUACUCCUAUUUAUAGGAGAUCUCAUGUCUCUUCAUAGGAAUAAAAUUACCUAAAUGGAUGGUCAUAUAUUUAGCAAUGAAUAUAAUUAUUCAACUAGAUAGUAUGUGUUAAUAAUCAAGUAACGUAAUUAUUGAAUUUAAGAAACAUAACUAAUCACUAUAAAUAAUGACAACAUUUGAUUAAUAACUAAGUGACAUAACUUUUAGUUAUUUAUAGUAUCUUAUUUAUAAUUAUUAGAACACUAUAAAUAUUUUAAAAAUGUUCCAACAUUAACUGUUUUCCAGAGUUUGAUCCAAUCUUCCAUUAUAUGUAAUGUUUCCUCCAUUAACCAAAAGAAUCCUUUACAAUAUGGAACAUCAUUGCUGUGUAUUUGUCAUACAUGCUAGAAUCGUUUUGUCCAAAAAAUUUUGGAUUAGUUCUUACAUUAUUUUCAGGAUUUUAAAUAGCAGUUGAGAAGACUAGGUAAUGUUGAAUAUCAAUCAAACACACAUUAUGUGUAUAGAAAUUUAUUGUUUGAAGAUUUGAAGAUUUGAAGCAUAUUUAAAAAAAAAAGUGAUUUAGUUAAUGUAUAAAAAUAAUAAGUUGAGUUUAAAUUCUACCCUACACUUUAAAUAAUGUCCCCAACUGCAUAACAAUCACGAAUUUCUUUAUUCAUACCUAUUUUACUUUUUUAAUCAAACGUGCAUUUCACACGCAAUUUCAACUUGUUCUUUUUCUAAUCAAACAUAAAUUAAAAAAAAAAAAACCCAAAACAAAAAAGGAAGUCCGGAACUGGCAACGUAAUAAUAAUAUUGGUAUAUAUAGAGAAGCUAUCAAACAGUUGGGACUUGAAACCGUAAAAUAAAUACUUUGUCGGGAAAAAGCUGAAAAAAAAUGAAUGUUUCGCUUGCCCUUUGUCAUAACUCAUAGUGAUGUAAUUGCUCCACUCUCAUUAAAAAAAAAAACGUAGUGAAAUUUAUCAAAUGGUUUAAGAUCUUAAAAAAAUAUACAUAAAUAGGAAGAUUGAGUUGACAGACGGGAAAUAUAGGUCCAAUAUGUAAUAUGUUUGUUAUAUUAUAAUGGUACUUUAAUAAAAUAUAUAAAAUGUUAGGUGUAGUAUGAAUGAAAAGAGAAAGGAGGGAUAGUUCUUGCCCCCAACAGUGUUGUUAAGUUAGGUUUUAAAUAAUUAAUUUAAAGAUGAGGGAGGAAGAGAAGCUCAGCCUCCGUCUCCGUCUGCACAUAUUCCAACCAAUGAAGAAAUUCUGAAUGAUGUCGGCCAAGGGAAGGAUAGCAUGCAGCGAAGAGCAUGUGGCCCUUUACCCUACAUUAUCUACUAAUAUACGACAUUACAUUUAUAGUUGCUGAAAAACACACAAGUAAUUAAGAUGCCAUUGCCUUCAAGUGCCAACUAUAUAGCUGCCUUUGACCACACCACUUCAUGUUCCUUCCAUCUCUAUACUACGUUGCUUGCUUUGCCUCUUGGAGAAUGAUACAUUUGCAGGUGAUCCGCAAAAACAACGUCCGCACCUUUCAACUAGCAGCUAUAUAUUAAUUAAAUGGAAAACGAAGAAGAUUCAAAAACAUGGUAUAUCGACGUCGAAACUAACCACCAUUCACAAAUAUAAAAUUAAAUGCUAUAUAAAGACUGCAUGCGCAAGUGGAGCAGAACUGGCCCUUCCCUACUGUCCAUACCCUGGCCUGCUGAAAGUCACUGAAAAUAAUGCCUAAUGGUGGUGGAUCCCCAGCCACUCUGUAAUUUAUAAUUAUAAUGAGAUGCUUGGAGGUGAAUGGGGAGAUUCAUAAGAUGAUAAACAGCUAAUGCUUCCAAUCCACCGAUUAGUCUACCCUAAUUUAAAAUACAAUAUCAUUCUCCCAUGUAAGUUUUUCAGAUACCCAUCUAUGAGCGAUAUAAAAUCUGCACCAAGUUUUCGCUUAUUUGAUCUGCACCGUCCAUUGUGAUUGUUGCACUUAAUCAUAUCCCUACAAACUUAGGAAUUACUCAAUUAAUGCUCACGUAAUUAUAUCUAAUCGCCUUGCAUGGCAUAUCAACUAACUUCAUUCAAUUUGCUAAAUGUCAACAUUAAUUGCACUGGCUUGUAACAUAAAAUUAGAAAUUGAGAGUCGGACAAUUUCAAACCCAACAACAAACAGUGUAUUUGGAUGCAAUGCUAAUCCUUUUUACGUUGUCGAUCGACAUCCAACUUUCACUUUUGCAGUGAAGACAUUGAGUUAUUGUCUUGUCAUACAAGUCUCUAAUUUCAAUACCAGCCGCCGACACAAGUACUGUAGACAAGAGGAGUUGCUUGUUGUUUACUAUAUACUACUCCAUUGCUUCCUGCCUAUUUCAUCACCUCAAGCAACUUCAGCUUAGAAUUAUUGGAUAAUAACGACUGUUCAAAUGAAGAUAUAGCGGAUGGAUGCGUCUGUGAAAUGUCAAUGUUUUAGACGGGGGCCGGGACAUGAAUUAGAAAGCAAGCCCAACAACUGAAACCUCAAUCUUCAUUUGUUUCGGGGCUUUAAACUUAGGCAAAAAAUCAUGGGCGGUCUUUGAUCGAAAAUAGCCAGAUCUGUACGUACCUCUUCGUUUGAUUUGGGUGUUACAACGGUCACCCAAAUAAAGUCCAAUGUGCUGAUCAACCUUUUUCCAAAAUCAUACACCUAAAAGUUUAAAUUAUUCAUAACCAUCGAAAGCUUUACUAUUGGCCAUGGAAUUUUUUAUAAAGGCAACAGUGUUGAGGCUUGACUAUAUGAAAAGCGCAUGGCCCUACUUUUCACUAUCUUAAGAUUCCUCCUAUCCUCCGUUGAUUUUCAGAUGAGGAAAGCCAUCCAAUCCCUACACUAUCCGCAACCCUUAGCUAAUUUUGUUGGGAAAAAAGAAAUAAAUAUAUAUAUUUUAUUUUAAUCCUUGUGAGAAGGCAACAUUUUAAAGAUAAUUUAAUCAUGGAUUAUUAUUUAAAAUAAAAUAAAAUUUAAAAUUCAUCCAUGAUUCUUAAACUCUAUCUAAAAUAUUCUCUCUCUAUAUUUUUAAUAUUUUCCAUGUAUAUUAUAUUAUCUAUAUUUAAAAUUCAUAGUUAUCUUUCAACAAUAUCAUUUCUAAAAUACGAAUUUAUAAACAAACCAUUUACUUUUAUUAUCUUUAGAAUAAUUCAACCUAGUUAAAUUUGGGGUUUUACAAUUAAUUUUAAUUGUAAUUUUGAGCAGACAUGGCAUAUAGGAAUAAAGUAGACAUCUUUUAUUCCACUAACUGGUUUUGUUUCUCAUUCUAACAUUAUUUGGCAGCUAGAUCUGUGCUUGUGUUCACACCAAGAUCCCCUCCAAAAAAAAAUAAAAUAUGGAAGCUCUACUCUCUGAAUUCACCUUCCUCUCAGAUCAAGCAUUACAAGACAAGAACUUUGAUCCAUCCACCAUAGAAGACCUAAUGAAGCUGUUUGAGAUUGAAUCAUACAAGGCAUGGGCAGCUAUGGAGCUUGAACAAGAAGAGGAAGUGAAAGAAGCUGAAACAAGCAUGCAGCAAGCUGAGGGUUAUCUUGACUCAGUCAUGGAAGCUGCGAUGGAUGAGUUUAGGCGGUUGGAGGAGGAAAUGGAACGCAUGGCAAAGGCUGAACUGAAGGACCUGGAAGACACAGCCGACAAGGCUAGAAAAAUGGGAAACCUGAUGGAAAAAGCUGCCGCUAUCGCCUCCAAAAAGUACGUUGAGGCUGCACUUAAUUCUGCUACUGCUUCUAUGAAAUCUGCUUGGAAAGGACUUUCUUCUAAAAAGGUUCAUCCUUCAUGAAAUGAAGCUCUAGUUGUAUCUUACAUAUAAUAUAAUUGAAAUACCCCUUGUUCUGGGUUUUCUUUCUUUCAUUUCACUGUAUGUUUUUCAUAAAAAGUAAUUAAAAUCCAUGAACUGGAUCUGGAUUUCUCCAGGAAUAAGAAAACUGGCAGGCAACAUGAGGCUUAGAAAGCUAUUUCCUUCAUUGUUUUUUGACUUGAAUUACUUGAUGAACUAGGCUAAUGUCACUCACAGAUUCUUCCAAUGUCUUAAUUAAAAGCAGCAAAAAGGGGGUUUGGAUACAGUACUGUAUCUAUAUUCCCCUGUGCUUAAUUAAUACUACAUACUGUUUCUUCAGUAUUCAGAUUAGAUCUUUUGAAUUGAUUAUAUCCUAAUGGUUGUUACUCUAUGAUUAUGGAAUGCUGUUGCAGAACCAGUAAUCCUCCAUUGAAAUCCAAACACCAACCCAAUGUCCGAUUAAGAGUUGAUUGAACCCAUUCUCAUAUCCUUUAAGCAACACAAUUGAGGAUACUUUUUUUUUGGCUUUUCCAACUAUUUGGAUGCUUUUAUUUUGCUCAUUAAUUAAAUGAUAGUUUGCAGGGAUAACUUCCAUUUCUUCAUUAAUUAAACGAUAGUUUUCAGGGAUUACUUCCAUUUCUUCCUAAACUUUAUGCUUUAUACGCACACCCCCUAUACACACUAUACAGCUGAAAGAAAAUAUAUGUAUAGAAAUAAAUUAAUGGUCUUUUUUUUGAAGAAAUUGUUGGAUAAUUUGCUGUCAUGUAAUCAAUUGUGUUAAGAAUGGAUGAAGCUAAGGGAUCUAAUAAUCAUGCAUGAAAGUAUUUAUGUAAUAUGCAUGUAUGUACUAGAUACACAUUAAUUAUUAGAUGCAUAUAUUAAAACUAAUAAUCACAAACAACAACUAUAUAUAUAAAGGUUGUAAGAGAUGAAGCCAUUACAAGAAAGUACAAAAGUAAGAGAUAAAAAAAUUAUGACAUGAGAAAAGUAUCCAUUCCAUGUUUAGUGUUUCUUCCUUUCACCAACUCUAGAAUCCUCUCCAACUAAGAAGUAUCAAUAGCUAGAGGUCCUUACAAUGUGAGUGUGAGUGAAAAUAAAAUUAAUCAUGACUUCUACAAGCACAAUCUCCAAUAAUGUUCAAAUUCCUAUCAUCGACGGCGAAAAUUAUGAUUUUUGAACAGUCAAAAUAGAGGCAUUAUUCACUUCCUUGAAUGUCUUGGAAUAGUCAAGGAGGGCUAUCAAGAUCCAGAAGAUGAAGAACAACUUGAAGAAUUAAAGAAUGAGAAGAUUACAAAUGUCAGAGUUCUUAGGAUGAUCUAAAGAGGAGUAACGGAUGUCAUAUUUCUCACAAUUAUGAAAGAAAAAAGAAAACUAAAGAAGCAUGAAAUAUUCUACAACAAUAAUUCAAAGGAGACAUAAAAAUGAGAGCAGUUAAACUUCAAUAUCUCAAAAUCUCAAUGAAAAAAUGAAAGAGCAUGAAAGCAUAAAUAAGUAUCAUAAUAGAUUGUCCAAGUUGGUGAAUCAAAUGAAGGCACAUGAAGACAUUAUUGAUGAUAGUAGAGUUGUUGAUAAAAAUCUAAUCAGCUUGACAAAAAAUUGAUCCUCUGGUGGUAGUUAAUGAAGAAACUAGGGAUUUGUCAAUCAUGACUAUUUAAGGGUUGAUAGGUACGGUUUACUAAGAUCCUAUGAGCAAAGAUUGUUACGUCAUUUAGAUAAAUCUGUUGAGAGCAUGUUUCAAUCCAAGCUUACUAUUGAAUUCAAGAAUGGUGAGAAAUCUUUAAUAUAAAACAAAGGCGAACCUUCUAGAGGUGGUAGAUUUGGAAGAGGUUGAGACAGAGGAAGAAAUUCACGUGGACGAGGUAGAAACAAUAAUAAUGGUGGACGAGACAAUGAUAGUGGAUCCAGUAAAUGAUGUGGAAUUUAUAAAAAAAAAUAG